UAGGCCUACGGGGGGCAGCAGUAGGGAAUCUUCCACAAUGGGCGAAAGCCUGAUGGAGCAACGCCGCGUGGGUGAAGAAGGUCUUCGGAUCGUAAAACCCUGUUGUUAGAGAAGAAAGUGCGUGAGAGUAACUGUUCACGUUUCGACGGUAUCUAACCAGAAAGCCACGGCUAACUACGUGCCAGCAGCCGCGGUAAUACGUAGGUGGCAAGCGUUAUCCGGAUUUAUUGGGUGUAAAGGGCGUGUAGGCGGGCCUGUAAGUCAGAAGUGAAAUCUGGGGGCUUAACCCCCAAACUGCUUUUGAA
This 305-nucleotide ribosomal RNA is filed under the name uncultured bacterium. Its description in RNAcentral is "bacterial SSU rRNA". It matches the Rfam family "Bacterial small subunit ribosomal RNA", at positions 334 to 631 of the family's 1533-position model. The record is from RNAcentral.